GAUGAACGCUGGCGGCGUGCCUAAUACAUGCAAGUCGAGCGAACGGACGAGAAGCUUGCUUCUCUGAUGUUAGCGGCGGACGGGUGAGUAACACGUGGAUAACCUACCUAUAAGACUGGGAUAACUUCGGGAAACCGGAGCAAUACCGGAUGAUAUUUUGAACCGCAUGGUUCAAAAGUGAAAGACGGUCUUGCUGUCACUUAUAGAUGGAUCCGCGCUGCAUUAGCUAGUUGGUAAGGUAACGGCUUACCAAGGCAACGAUGCAUAGCCGACCUGAGAGGGUGAUCGGCCACACUGGAACUGAGACACGGUCCAGACUCCUACGGGAGGCAGCAGUAGGGAAUCUUCCGCAAUGGGCGAAAGCCUGACGGAGCAACGCCGCGUGAGUGAUGAAGGUCUUCGGAUCGUAAAACUCUGUUAUUAGGGAAGAACAUAUGUGUAAGUAACUGUGCACAUCUUGACGGUACCUAAUCAGAAAGCCACGGCUAACUACGUG
Molecule: ribosomal RNA, 496 nt
Filed under: uncultured bacterium
Lineage: Bacteria
Description: partial 16S ribosomal RNA
Rfam family: Bacterial small subunit ribosomal RNA
Source: RNAcentral